GACGAACGCUGGCGGCGUGCUUAACACAUGCAAGUCGAACGGAAAGGCCCUGCUUUUGUUGGGUGCUCGAGUGGCGAACGGGUGAGUAACACGUGAGUAACCUCCCCUUGACUUUGGGAUAACUUCAGGAAACUGGGGCUAAUACCGGAUAGGAGCUCCUGCUGCAUGGUGUGGGUUGGAAAGUUUCGGCGGUUGGGGAUGUACUAGCGGCUUAUCAGCUUGUUGGUGGGGUAGUGGCUUACCAAGGCUUUGACGGGUAGCCGGCCUGAGAGGGGGACCGGCCACAUUGGGACUGAGGGACGGCCCAGACUCCUACGGGAGGCAGCAGUGGGGAAUAUUGCACAAUGGGCGGGAGCCUGAUGCAGAGACGCCGGGUGCGGGAUGACGGGCUUCGGGUUGUAAACCGCUUUCGCCUGUGACGAAGCGUGAGUGACGGUAAUGGGUAAAGAAGCACCGGCUAACUACGUG
RNAcentral lists this ribosomal RNA (468 nucleotides) under uncultured bacterium. RNAcentral describes it as "partial 16S ribosomal RNA". It matches the Rfam family "Bacterial small subunit ribosomal RNA", at positions 28 to 507 of the family's 1533-position model. The record is from RNAcentral.